GAUGAACGCUGGCGGCGUGCUUAACACAUGCAAGUCGAACGAAGCACUUUAUUUGUUUUCCUUCGGGACUGAUUAUUUUGUGACUGAGUGGCGGACGGGUGAGUAACGCGUGGGUAACCUGCCUUGUACAGGGGGAUAACAGUUGGAAACGGCUGCUAAUACCGCAUAAGCGCACGGCAUCGCAUGAUGCAGUGUGAAAAACUCCGGUGGUAUAAGAUGGACCCGCGUUGGAUUAGCUAGUUGGUGAGGUAACGGCCCACCAAGGCGACGAUCCAUAGCCGACCUGAGAGGGUGACCGGCCACAUUGGGACUGAGACACGGCCCAAACUCCUACGGGAGGCAGCAGUGGGGAAUAUUGCACAAUGGGCGAAAGCCUGAUGCAGCGACGCCGCGUGAGCGAAGAAGUAUUUCGGUAUGUAAAGCUCUAUCAGCAGGGAAGAUAAUGACGGUACCUGACGAAGAAGCACCGGCUAAAUACGUG
This 481-nucleotide ribosomal RNA is filed under the name uncultured bacterium. RNAcentral's name for it is "partial 16S ribosomal RNA". It matches the Rfam family "Bacterial small subunit ribosomal RNA", at positions 28 to 507 of the family's 1533-position model. The record is from RNAcentral.